AACGCUGGCGGUAGGCCUAACCCAUGCAAGUCGAACGGCAGCACAGUAAGAGCUUGCUCUUACGGGUGGCGAGUGGCGGACGGGUGAGGAAUACAUCGGAAUCUACUUUUUCGUGGGGGAUAACGUAGGGAAACUUACGCUAAUACCGCAUACGACCUACGGGUGAAAGCAGGGGAUCUUCGGACCUUGCGCGAUUGAAUGAGCCGAUGUCGGAUUAGCUAGUUGGCGGGGUAAAGGCCCACCAAGGCGACGAUCCGUAGCUGGUCUGAGAGGAUGAUCAGCCACACUGGAACUGAGACACGGUCCAGACUCCUACGGGAGGCAGCAGUGGGGAAUAUUGGACAAUGGGCGCAAGCCUGAUCCAGCCAUACCGCGUGGGUGAAGAAGGCCUUCGGGUUGUAAAGCCCUUUUGUUGGGAAAGAAAAGCAGCAGGUUAAUACCCCGCUGUUCUGACGGUACCCAAAGAGUAAGCACCGGCUAACUUCGUA
Molecule: ribosomal RNA, 488 nt
Filed under: uncultured bacterium
Lineage: Bacteria
Description: partial 16S ribosomal RNA
Rfam family: Bacterial small subunit ribosomal RNA
Source: RNAcentral